Molecule: ribosomal RNA, 497 nt
Filed under: uncultured bacterium
Lineage: Bacteria
Description: partial 16S ribosomal RNA
Rfam family: Bacterial small subunit ribosomal RNA
Source: RNAcentral
GAUGAACACUGGCGGCGUGCCUAAUACAUGCAAGUCGAGCGAACAGACGAGGAGCUUGCUCCUCUGACGUUAGCGGCGGACGGGUGAGUAACACGUGGAUAACCUACCUAUAAGACUGGGAUAACUUCGGGAAACCGGAGCUAAUACCGGAUAAUAUAUUGAACCGCAUGGUUCAAUAGUGAAAGACGGUUUUGCUGUCACUUAUAGAUGGAUCCGCGCCGCAUUAGCUAGUUGGUAAGGUAACGGCUUACCAAGGCAACGAUGCGUAGCCGACCUGAGAGGGUGAUCGGCCCCACUGGAACUGAGACACGGUCCAGACUCCUACGGGAGGCAGCAGUAGGGAAUCUUCCGCAAUGGGCGAAAGCCUGACGGAGCAACGCCGCGUGAGUGAUGAAGGUCUUCGGAUCGUAAAACUCUGUUAUUAGGGAAGAACAAAUGUGUAAGUAACUAUGCACGUCUUGACGGUACCUAAUCAGAAAGCCACGGCUAACUACGUG